GCUCACCAGCUUGCUGUGCCUCCAACAGGUCCGAUGGCUCUGAGGUGACCUGACUAGCUGAGCCAUGAAGGUUGCUGCAGGCACACCUGUGCAUGUGAGGUCUUGGGCUGUCCGGUUUCCUGGCCAGAGACCAUUUCCCAUGGGCCCGACUGGCCCCAGCCUCACUCCUGUCACCCAGAUAUCCAUUUCUGGAAAAUGGUGCCAACUGCCAGUCUUUCUCAUCAGCUGCCCAGCACUGUCCUCCACCACCCAGGGGAUCUCAAGCCUGUGACUGUUAAGUUAAAACCACAGUAGUAAUUCAGUAGAGGAAAACUGCUCCAUGAGGGCAAAAGAAAUUCCAAAAAGUCAGAAGUUUAAGGGACUGUGGCACUCGGCUUUGAGUCUGUACAAAAUGAAACAAAACCACCGGGACCUCUCCGUGAAGCCAGGGCGCUGGCUUUGGCCUCAGUGAGAAGGCGAGCAGGGGAAACUGAUCAGAGCCUCUAAUGUCUGCUAUCUCCUGGGGCUAAGGUCAGAUUCUCCUUACUCCAGAGGUCAAAGAAUACCUGGACUGAAGAAUUAAGAUGAUUCCAGGUUUGUAUUUCCUGGGAUCUGGCAGAAGCAAAAAUGCAAAUCCUGUAGAGAAGAAUAUUAAAACUACAAUCAUAUUAUUACAUAUCAACCAAGUGUAAGUUGUCCAUGAACUAAAGUUCGUAUCCAAGCAAAUGAGCUGUUACGAGCAAUAGCAGCACGAACAAUAAACUGAGUGCUCACCCCAGGUGGUGCUAGUGGUAACGAAACCGCCUGCCAAUGUAGGAGAUGGAGACGUGGGUUCGAUCCCUGGGUUGAAACCGCCUGCCAAUGUAGGAGAUGGAGACGUGGGUUCGAUCCCUGGGUUGGGAAGACCCCCUGGAGGUGGGUCUGGCAACCCACUUCCUGCCUGGAGAAUCCCAUGGACAGAGGAGCCUGGUGGGCUACAGCCCAUGGGGUUGCAAAGAGUCGGACAUGACUAAAGUGACUUAGCACACACGCACACAACUUGGGUUUGACCCAGAGGUGCCCGGGAGAGGACAGCCACCCCAGCAGUGUCUGGACUCUCCUGGCAGGGGCGAUGCUCCAGGACAUCUGUGCUGAGGCCAUUCGUCAAGCUUGUGAGGCCACCUGCUCAGAUGUAUGGUGUCGAAGGUCACUGCGCCAC
Bos taurus (domestic cattle) is the source of this 1177-nucleotide long non-coding RNA. The record is from Ensembl. NCBI's taxonomy places the organism in Eukaryota, Metazoa, Chordata, Mammalia, Artiodactyla, Bovidae.